This 200-nucleotide ribosomal RNA is filed under the name uncultured bacterium. RNAcentral describes it as "partial 16S ribosomal RNA". It matches the Rfam family "Bacterial small subunit ribosomal RNA", at positions 8 to 210 of the family's 1533-position model. The record is from RNAcentral.
AGAGUUUGAUCCUGGCUCAGGACGAACGCUGGCGGCGUGCCUAACACAUGCAAGUCGAGCGGAAGUGUAGCAAUACACUUUAGCGGCGGACGGGUGAGUAACACGUGGGUAACCUGCCCUAUAGAGGGGGAUAGCCAACCGAAAGGUUGAUUAAUACCGCAUAAACCAGAGGUAUCGCAUGGUACUACUGGCAAAGGAGC